This is a long non-coding RNA of Salvelinus sp. IW2-2015, 2060 nucleotides long. RefSeq lists it as uncharacterized. The record is from RefSeq and is a predicted model, not a curated record. NCBI's taxonomy places the organism in Eukaryota, Metazoa, Chordata, Actinopteri, Salmoniformes, Salmonidae.
UUAUCCAUUGUAUUUAUAAUUGUUCAUUUAAAAAAAAAAAUUACAGAAUUUUAACAUGCAUUGAUUGCAAAGCUCAAAAAAAUAUUUAUUUUGUAUCAUACGCAUAGCGUUUUAUCACCAACCUUUAUUUUGAAAGCAAAAUCCGAAAACCGGAAGUCUUCAUGUGGCUGGUAUAUAGCUAGUGUUGUUUUGGGACCCUCUUCUUGGUUGGUCCGUUCUUGGUCGAGUCCUCUGCCCUGGCUGUCCAAUGACAUUAGAACAAUUUCCUAUUCUAAUUUUGCAUGCAGUUGUGGACUAUGAGCCGCGACUUUCAUUUUUAGCAUGCAUAACAUUCUAGUAGUAGUUUAAAAAAAAUGCAAUGUUAUAUUUUAAUCAAAACUUCUGCAGCAAGAUUUUUGAAAGAAUUCCAAUAAAGAUAACUGAACUAUGGCCCUCAAGUGGCUACCAGAAGGUAAAUCUCGCGYGACUAUAGCCACAUUUGUAAUACAUCAAUGCAGCACACUACAUCGUUUUUGAAUUAAUGUCGUUUUAUAUAUUAUAUACCAUUGAUUUCGAAUCCACCUUAGGUGGAAAACUAUAAAUGUAACAUAAUGCAUCUCUUUGUCCAGCACUGAGCUCAAGUGUAAAAUGAAUUUUGCCAUCUACCUGCCUCCCAAGGCUGAGAAUGGGAAGUGUCUUCUGUCUUGUACUGGCUCUCAGGUGGUUGUAACAUCGAGGGUAAAGAUGAGAGCUGGGACUUUGGCACAGGGGCUGGUUUCUAUGUCAACGCCACCCAGUUGCCCUGGAAGAGCAACUACCGCAUGUACGCCUACGUCACAGAGGUGUGUGGGUCACAUGAUAAUAGCAUUUACUAUUGUGAAUCCCCUGAUACAACUCUCCCCUGGUCUCUUUGUUCUUUUUUUUUCUUCUCUCAACUCUCAUUUGAUCAACGCUAACUUCCCCACUGACCCAGAGAAGAUGUCUAUUUCUGGCCACUCCAUGAGGGGGACACGGAGCCCUGAAAAACCCUGGAAAAUACAAGGCAUGGCAAGUCAGUCUUACAACUCAUGAUAUAGUCAUUAUGUAAUAUACACAUGUGAAUGAAGCCCCCACCCCUCUCUACAGUCUGUGUCUGUUGUUUGCCACCAUCUGCAACCCCAGCCAGAAGGCCUUCAAUGGGUACCUGGAAAAAGACAAGMAAGCCUGGGAGGCGUAUGAUGUCACGGUGCUGGCAGCAUCCUACUCCGGCCCUCAGCUGGACAUCCUGAUCGACCAGGGCCGUGAUGACCAGUUCCUGUCGGCCAGUCAUUUGCUUCCUGACAACCUGAUCGCCUCCUGCUCAGAGAAGAUCCCUGUGGUGUUCAGGCUGCAGCCGGUCAGUGCUUCCACCCAGUGGCCAACUACAGCAACUGUUUGAUAUUUAACAAUUUAAUGUCCUGUACUUUAGUUUGGAAUUAUUGUGUAUUGUACCAGAUGAACAGUGUUAUUGUAAGGGCUACGACCAUAGCUACUUCUUCAUCAACGACCACAUUAAGCACCACGCCAAGUUCCUCAACGCUUAAGACCAUGACUGCUGGACCAGAACCCAACCAGGCUUUCUCCUCCCAACUGUGCACCUGCUACUAUUCACCUGUCCCAUACAGAGAGACGUAGGUGCCUGGUGAACUGACAUUAACCUGAUACACCUGGUGAGCUGAAAUGAACACACCUGCUGUGUUGAGUCAAGCUGAGAAAAAGACAAUAGUGAGAGCAGGAUGUUUGUAAAGAGGAGCUUGCUUGCCACCCACGUGGUCACACCAACUGAAAAAAAAAAAAAAAAAGUGUUACUACUUUUGAUUACAUUUGUUUCCAUCUUAUGACCUUAGGCUCACACACUGACAUCUGAGACCAAUACAAAACACAUGUAGACUAAAGACCAAACAUAAGACUGUUUUCUUCAGAUAGUCUUUACUCAAAGUGAUGAGAAAUAUAUACAGUAUUCACAGCAGUUACGGUGACGUUAAAGGGGUGUUUCAUGCAAUCAAAUCCAAAUUGCUGUACAACAAAUACACCAAUUUGACAAAAGGUACAAAAUUGUACAU